Molecule: transfer RNA, 70 nt
Filed under: Aleurodicus dispersus
Lineage: Eukaryota; Metazoa; Arthropoda; Insecta; Hemiptera; Aleyrodidae
Description: tRNA-Lys
Source: RNAcentral
CAUUAAAAAGCUUUAAGUAAGCAUUGGUCUCUUAAAUCAAUAAUAAUAAUGUUACGUUUAUUUUUAAUGA